Molecule: non-coding RNA, 100 nt
Organism: Vararia minispora EC-137
Lineage: Eukaryota; Fungi; Basidiomycota; Agaricomycetes; Russulales; Lachnocladiaceae
Source: the annotation of a GenBank genome assembly
GCCGCCUUGGCGUAGUGGUAGCGCGUCCCACUUGUACAACUGCGAGCGAUCGCAGGGGUUUGAAAUGGGAAGGUCACUAGUUCAAUCCUGGUAGGUGGCA